RNAcentral lists this ribosomal RNA (746 nucleotides) under uncultured archaeon. RNAcentral describes it as "bacterial SSU rRNA". It matches the Rfam family "Archaeal small subunit ribosomal RNA", at positions 173 to 922 of the family's 1478-position model. The record is from RNAcentral.
GAAUGGUUCCUGACUAAAAUCUAUAUGGCCUCUGGAUUGGACUGCGGCCGAUCAGGCUGUUGGUGAGGUAAUGGCCCACCAAACCUGUAACCGGUACGGGCUCUGAGAGGAGGAGCCCGGAGAUGGGCACUGAGACAAGGGCCCAGGCCCUAUGGGGCGCAGCAGGCGCGAAACCUCUGCAAUAGGCGAAAGCCUGACAGGGUUACUCUGAGUGAUUCCCGCUAAGGGGAUCUUUUGGCACCUCUAAAAAUGGUGCAGAAUAAGGGGUGGGCAAGUCUGGUGUCAGCCGCCGCGGUAAUACCAGCACCCCGAGUGGUCGGGACGUUUAUUGGGCCUAAAGCAUCCGUAGCCGGUCAUGCAAGUCCUCCGUUAAAUCCACCUGCUCAACAGAUGGGCUGCGGAGGAUACUACAAGGCUAGGAGGCGGAAGAGGCAAGCGGUACUCAGUGGGUAGGGGUAAAAUCCUCUGAUCCAUUGAAGACCACCAGUGGCAAAGGCGGCUUGCCAAUACGCGCUCGACGGUGAGGGAUGAAAGCUGGGGGAGCAAACCGGAUUAGAUACCCGGGUAGUCCCAGCUGUAAACGAUGCAGACUCGGUGAUGGGCCGGCUUUAUGCCGGCUCAGUGCCGCAGGGAAGCCGUUAAGUCUGCCGCCUGGGGAGUACGGUCGCAAGACUGAAACUUAAAGGAAUUGGCGGGGGAGCACCACAAGGGGUGAAGCCUGCGGUUCAAUUGGAUUCAACGCCGGA